AUGUUGCUCAUCCUUCUGAAGGUGCUUGUGGCAUCCAUGUGUCUAGGAUACAGUAUUGCCCAGACAGUGACUCAAGACCAGCCAGAAAUGCUUAUGCAGAAGGGAAAUGUGACUCUGCACUGCACAUAUGAUACCAGUUCUACAUCUUAUAGUUUGCUGUGGUACAAGCAGCCCAGCAGUGGGGAGAUGAUUUUGCUCAUUCGCCAGGACUCUUACAACCAGGCAAAUGUAACUGAAGGUCGCUACACAGUGGACUUCCAGAAGGCAAGCAAGUCCAUCAACCUUGUCAUUUCAGCUUCACAGCUGGAGGACUCAGCACUGUAUUUCUGUGCACUGAGAGACACACAGUGA
Non-coding RNA from Erinaceus europaeus (western European hedgehog), 351 nucleotides. Lineage: Eukaryota; Metazoa; Chordata; Mammalia; Eulipotyphla; Erinaceidae. The record is from the annotation of a RefSeq genome assembly.